Molecule: ribosomal RNA, 468 nt
Filed under: uncultured bacterium
Lineage: Bacteria
Description: partial 16S ribosomal RNA
Rfam family: Bacterial small subunit ribosomal RNA
Source: RNAcentral
GACGAACGCUGGCGGCGUGCUUAACACAUGCAAGUCGAACGGAAAGGCCCUGCUUUUGUGGGGUGCUCGAGUGGCGAACGGGUGAGUAACACGCGAGUAACCUGCCCUUGACUUUGGGAUAACUUCAGGAAACUGGGGCUAAUACCGGAUAGGAGCUCCUGCUGCAUGGUGGGGGUUGGAAAGUUUCGGCGGUUGGGGAUGGACUCGCGGCUUAUCAGCUUGUUGGUGGGGUAGUGGCUUACCAAGGCUUUGACGGGUAGCCGGCCUGAGGGGGUGACCGGCGACAUUGGGACUGAGAUACGGCCCAGACUCCUACGGGAGGCAGCAGUGGGGAAUAUUGCACAAUGAGCGGAAGCCUGAUGCAGCAACGCCGCGUGCGGGAUGACGGCCUUCGGGUUGUAAACCGCUGUCGCCUGUGACGAAGCGUGAGUGACGGUAAUGGGUAAAGAAGCACCGGCUAACUACGUG